This 296-nucleotide unclassified non-coding RNA is filed under the name Hevea brasiliensis (rubber tree). Lineage: Eukaryota; Viridiplantae; Streptophyta; Magnoliopsida; Malpighiales; Euphorbiaceae. The record is from RNAcentral.
CCCUUAGGUUGAGAAUAAUGUCAACGAAUUCUUUGUUGCUCUUCUAAUGGUCUCUAAUGGAUCUUAUUUACUUGCAAUUGUUUUGGGGACCCUCGUAAUCAAUGCCAAGAUCUGGGCUUUGAGUCACCUUGGCGAUGAUGACAGCCAUUUUUUGAUAUGAAUUAGAAUUUGGUUAUUUGGUUCAUCAUCUAGAUUCUGUUGGGGCCUGGGGAUUUGCCAAUGAACACCCUCUUCUGCUCUCAGUGCUAUGAAUGUUCAUGUUCUAGAUGAUGCCAAAGAAUCGUUUUAAAAAUUUU